AUAUCCCGCAUCAGAGAAUUCUUAAUGCCCUAAUUCUAAUCCGUAACACCAUUUGCUUUUCAAGCAACACCAAAUAACAUGAUAUAAGAUAUUUCAAGAGCCAGGAAACCUAUAAAGCGUUGCCUUUGUUAAUAAAAUAGUAACAUUUGAAACAAAAUAAAAAAAAAUGCAGAAAUAAAAAAAACAUGGAAUUGAGCUUACAAUGGAAUAACAGGUGGAUCCAUGGAAAUUCAAG
This 235-nucleotide long non-coding RNA is filed under the name Amborella trichopoda. Its description in RNAcentral is "long non-coding RNA (ATRI_LNC000506)". Lineage: Eukaryota; Viridiplantae; Streptophyta; Magnoliopsida; Amborellales; Amborellaceae. The record is from RNAcentral.